GACGAACGCUGGCGGCGUGCUUAACACAUGCAAGUCGAACGCCCUAGCAAUAGGGAGUGGCAGACGGGUGAGUAACACGUGGGAACCUUCCCUAUAGUACGGAAUAUACCAGGGAAACUUGGAGCAAUACCGUAUACGCCCGAGAGGGGAAAGAUUUAUCGCUAUAGGAUGGGCCCGCGUAGGAUUAGCUAGUUGGUGAGGUAAUGGCUCACCAAGGCGACGAUCCUUAGCUGGUUUGAGAGAACGACCAGCCACACUGGGACUGAGACACGGCCCAGACUCCUACGGGAGGCAGCAGUGGGGAAUAUUGGACAAUGGGCGCAAGCCUGAUCCAGCCAUGCCGCGUGAGUGAUGAAGGCCUUAGGGUUGUAAAGCUCUUUUGCCGGGGACGAUAAUGACGGUACCCGGAGAAUAAGUCCCGGCUAACUUCGUGCCAGCCGCCGCGGU
This 447-nucleotide ribosomal RNA is filed under the name uncultured bacterium. RNAcentral's name for it is "bacterial SSU rRNA". It matches the Rfam family "Bacterial small subunit ribosomal RNA", at positions 28 to 521 of the family's 1533-position model. The record is from RNAcentral.